CAGCCGUAAACUAUGCUCGCUAGGUGUCAGGCAUGGCGCGACCGUGUCUGGUGCCGCAGGGAAGCCGUGAAGCGAGCCACCUGGGAAGUACGGCCGCAAGGCUGAAACUUAAAGGAAUUGGCGGGGGGAGCACCACAACGGGUGGAGCCUGCGGUUUAAUUGGACUCAACGCCGGGAAGCUCACCGGAUAAGACAGCGGAAUGAUUGCCGGGCUGAAGACUCUGCAUGACUAGCUGAGAGGAGGUGCAUGGCGUAGACGUCU
RNAcentral lists this ribosomal RNA (262 nucleotides) under uncultured archaeon. Its description in RNAcentral is "partial 16S ribosomal RNA". It matches the Rfam family "Archaeal small subunit ribosomal RNA", at positions 748 to 1009 of the family's 1478-position model. The record is from RNAcentral.